UCCCGGCGGUCCAAGUCGCAUCCACAAUUAUUGGGUCUAAAACAUCCGUAGCUUGCUUUGUAAGUUUCUUGUGAAAUCUCACAUCUUAAGUGUGAGGCGUGCAAGAAAUACUACAAAGCUAGAGACCGGAAGACGCAAAGAGUAUGUUCGAGGUAGUGGUAAAAUAUGUUAAUCUCGAUCAGACUAACAAUGGCGAAGGCACUUUGCGAGUACGGAUCUGACAGUGAGGGAUGAAGGCUAGGGGC
RNAcentral lists this ribosomal RNA (245 nucleotides) under uncultured archaeon. RNAcentral describes it as "partial 16S ribosomal RNA". It matches the Rfam family "Archaeal small subunit ribosomal RNA", at positions 474 to 718 of the family's 1478-position model. The record is from RNAcentral.